CCUACGGGAGGCAGCAGUGGGGAAUUUUGGACAAUGGGGGCAACCCUGAUCCAGCAAUGCCGCGUGUGUGAAGAAGGCCUUCGGGUUGUAAAGCACUUUUGUCCGGAAAGAAAUGGCGCUGGUUAAUACCCGGCGUUGAUGACGGUACCGGAAGAAUAAGCACCGGCUAACUACGUGCCAGCAGCCGCGGUAAUACGUGGGGUGCGAGCGUUAAUCGGAAUUACUGGGCGUAAAGCGUGCGCAGGCGGUUUGGUAAGACAGGCGUGAAAUCCCCGAGCUCAACUUGGGAAUGGCGCUUGUGACUGCCAGGCUAGAGUAUGUCAGAGGGGGGUAGAAUUCCACGUGUAGCAGUGAAAUGCGUAGAGAUGUGGAGGAAUACCGAUGGCGAAGGCAGCCCCCUGGGACGUCACUGACGCUCAUGCACGAAAGCGUGGGGAGCAAACAGGAUUAGAUACCCUGGUAGUCCACGCCCUAAACGAUGUACAACUAGUUGUUGGGUAUUCUAUUCUUCUAGUAACGUAGACUACGCGUGUAGUAGACCGCCGUGGGAGGUACGGUCGCGAGAAGUAAACUAACAAUAGAAGUUAGACGGCGUGAGACGUAGCCGAACGGACGACCGACGAGGGAGGAGG
RNAcentral lists this ribosomal RNA (632 nucleotides) under uncultured bacterium. RNAcentral describes it as "bacterial SSU rRNA". The stretch from base 1 to 544 matches the Rfam family "Bacterial small subunit ribosomal RNA", at positions 338 to 873 of the family's 1533-position model. The record is from RNAcentral.